RNAcentral lists this ribosomal RNA (550 nucleotides) under uncultured bacterium. RNAcentral's name for it is "bacterial SSU rRNA". It matches the Rfam family "Bacterial small subunit ribosomal RNA", at positions 355 to 896 of the family's 1533-position model. The record is from RNAcentral.
UGGGGAAUCUUCCGCAAUGGACGAAAGUCUGACGGAGCAACGCCGCGUGAGUGAUGACGGCCUUCGGGUUGUAAAGCUCUGUUAAUCGGGACGAAAGGCCUUCUUGCGAAUAGUGAGAAGGAUUGACGGUACCGGAAUAGAAAGCCACGGCUAACUACGUGCCAGCAGCCGCGGUAAUACGUAGGUGGCAAGCGUUGUCCGGAAUUAUUGGGCGUAAAGCGCGCGCAGGCGGAUCAGUCAGUCUGUCUUAAAAGUUCGGGGCUUAACCCCGUGAGGGGAUGGAAACUGCUGAUCUAGAGUAUCGGAGAGGAAAGUGGAAUUCCUAGUGUAGCGGUGAAAUGCGUAGAUAUUAGGAAGAACACCAGUGGCGAAGGCGACUUUCUGGACGAAAACUGACGCUGAGGCGCGAAAGCCAGGGGAGCGAACGGGAUUAGAUACCCCGGUAGUCCUGGCCGUAAACGAUGGGUACUAGGUGUAGGAGGUAUCGACCCCUUCUGUGCCGGAGUUAACGCAAUAAGUACCCCGCCUGGGGAGUACGACCGCAAGGUUG